GAAUUUUUUUUAAUUCUAUUACCAGACGUAAUUUGCUCAAUAUCCUUUCUGUUUAUUUUGUUCUCCUACAUGUGUGCCUUCAUAUUCUUAGCUCUUCUAAAUUUUUAAGUGCUUCCUCUACAUGUACAGGGUCUUUAGCAUUUUUGUAAACAGCUAUCAUUCUGUUGGUGCUGGAAUUUCUUAAGUAUCCAGCUGUUUUGUAUUUGGUUGCUCAACAUUAUGAUCUAGAUUGUCCUCUACCAUUUGUAGCUUCAUGUUAGUAUUUGUUUUGUUAUUGCGAUAUUUCUUUCUGCUACUCUUGGAUUAACUUACUGUGAGGUUGAUGCCAUCAGACAGUGGAAGCUGCUUGUCUUUCUUAGUCUUUUGCUUUAUGAUUUUUGUAUUUUGCUGACAUGGUACUGCUUGCUGGAUGACAUUUCCUUUUAUGGUCAUUAAUUGGGAUAAAAGAACCUCGGGAACCAUGUAAGCUAGGUGAUUUAUACAUUGGGAGGGAAAUAAAAAAGAGAACCUUUGAAGAACAAGAAAGAAAGAUAGUGACGAGAUUAUAAACUGACUGGAUUAAGCCAGCUUUGUAACUUAUGAGAUUCUUGAGUGGCUUUAUAUCAACCUGUGGGUGAUUUUUCCACUGCCUUCUGCCUCUUUUUUCUCGUGUUAACUUGUGGAGUCAUUGCUGAACACUUCACAAGUGGUUCACAAAAAUGUUUCCUUGAGGAGAAAUUGCUGCACCAUCUCACUUAUGAUUGGAUAUUUUUAUUUUAGUACAUUGCAAAACUUUCAAUGAACAAUGAUAAACCAUUUUUGCAUUGCCCUGUUUAUUGUUGAGUGUUUCUUUGACGUGACUAAACCAUUCAGGAUGUAUGGGUUCCAUAUCGAGUUUUGCAUUGACCCAUUUUCUGUCCUAAGCUUUGAGUUGUAUGCUUGUAUCAAAAAAUCCAAUUGUUGUUUUUGUUGUCUCCCUCGGAGAAAUUUUUUGCUAAUUUGACCUUGUAACUAUUCAAAGCCUUAUUCCAGGUUUUGUGGAGGGACAAGAAGUCAGGUGUUCUUUUUACAUUACUUAAAUAUUCUGAACAGCUAAGCAGCCAGAUAAUAUGCUUUGAAGCACUUCGGGUUCAAUGGAAUGUCCGCCACGUGCCGAUUAACCUGUUUUUAUUAAGACAAUACAACUGCAGGAUAUGGAUUGUUGAAUUUAUGCUGUUGUUAACAAUAAUCAAGCCAGUCAAAUUCGAAGGUUGUUGAAGACAUUGUAAUGUCCAGGUUUUGGGUUUUGUUGCAUCUUUUCAAAUGUUUUUUGCUUAUGGCCUUGCUAGUGGUCCCCAACUCAUGUCUGCUACCGUUGGUUCCUAGGAGCCAGAACUAGGUUCACUGAACUUAAGUUUACUUCAGAAGAGCCAAAAAGAUCAAAUAAUACUUCGUGUAGGCCUCUGCACUUGUGCAAAAAGGAUAGUUUAAAUACAAGGCAGGCUAAAGCUGAGGAUUUUCAGGCUUUUUAUGAUCAUGAUUCUUCUAUGGCUGAUAUUACGUCAUCAGAUUCCGACUACAGUGAUAACGAUGGAUCACUUGAAGAUAUCAAUAAUUUUUGUUGCUCAAAGGUUAGAGUAUCUGCCAUUGUUUGUGUACCGAUUUUCAAGGCUUCUCCAGCUAUAAUAGCCCAGUUCUAGGGUCUCUAGCAUUUAUUUAAACACCUAUCAUUCUGUUGGUGAUGGAAUUUCUCAAGUAUCCAGCUGCUUUGUAUUUGGUUGCUCAACACUGUGAUCUAGAUUGUCCUCCACCAUUUGUAGCUUCAUAUGCCAUUGAAUGAUCAUUGACACUGAAUAUUUCCAAUUGGGGCUUCUUUCAUUGUGUGUGUUUGUGGUGAAGGAGCAUUGUCAAGCUGAUCCCAAGUCUUUAACAACUCAAAGGACAAUGCUUUUGCCGACCAAUGAUGUACUACAACCAAGGAAAUUUGAAGCGACUCAGAUGGCAACCUUGUAAUGCGAUCUUUACAUAAAGGUUCCACUUUUGUUGUUUGUAGAUAAUUUUUUUUAACAUCUUUUUUUCUUGGCCAAGUAUUUAACUUCCUGGCCUCUUGCUUGUAAUUUAGUUGACAAUCAUUAGAUUGUGAUGCAUGGAUAUUUUCAUUCUUAUUUAUGACUUAACAUCUAAUUGUCAGAUAUUUUCCUUAACCUCAGUAAUGCUUCUUGCUUAGAUGUGCAACUUUACGAUGCCUAGACAUGAAUGGCAACAGCCUUAGCUUUGGAUGUCAUGAUGGAUGGGCCUGCUAUUGUUUUUCUACAGGUAGCAGAAUGCAAAGAAUCUACUAAAUGUGAAUCUUUUAUGGCGAUUUCUGGUACUCUUGGCCAGAUACUAAUGGAACUUCGUACUGGUAUUCUACACUUAAUUCAGAAUGAAACUAAUCAUCGGUUGCUGGUGUUGGUAUUAAAGAUUCUCAUGUUUUUGAUAUCAUGACACCAUUUAAGUGUCCCUUGCUCAUGGUUGUUAAAAUGUUUGAUUUACCCUCUUCUUUAGCUGAUAUUUGUGCCUUCUCAGUGAAUGCUUUCUGUUGUUCUUAUGAUGCGGAACCUUGUUUUCAGACUCAUCAUGUGCAUUUAUUAAUAAUUUUCUAUCAGAUAUAAGAACCUUGAUCUGUAGAUUCUUUUUCAGAGGUGAAAUAAAGAUAAAGGUGGUAUUUGAGAAUAAAAGAACCUUGGGAACCAUAUAAGCUAGGUGAUUUAUACAUAGGGAGAGAAAGUAAAAAACGAGAAUAUAAAAUGACAUUGAAAGUCAGUUAUGCAACGUACGAGAUUUUGAGUGGCGUUAUAUCAUCCCAGGAGUGAUAUUUCAUUUGCCUUCUUCCUCUCCUUUCUUGUGUCUCACCCCCUCUUAAUCUCCGUCUUUUCUUUUUAUGCUAAUCUUGUUUUAUACACUCAAUAUCAUGAUAUUCUGGUAAUUUUUUUGGAGACUGUGAUAACUUCUUCUUUCAUUGUGUGCGCGCAAAAUGUUGUAUAAAUAUGCUCUUUUAUUAAUCUAGCUUAGUAUAGGUUUGGAAUUCACAAAACAGAUAAGAACAAACAAGAUACUUCAAUCAAUUGUGUUUUCAGUGUACAUUGGGACUUUAUGAAGGAUUUGAUUCUCAAAAAUGUUUGAAUGGUGAAUAAGAAUCUGAGUUUAGGUCCAUAUUGAAAAUCCAGUGUGGUUUUUAUUGUUGCUUUUAGAUGCUUGAAGCAGAACUCAUUUCAUGGUAUCUUGCCUUCAUUAAUUUUAUGUGUUUCCUCCUUUCAUCUUUUGGGAAAAGCUUUCCAUAUGCAUUCUAGAUUUAUUGCACUUUGUUGCUUAUACCUUUGGUAAUAAGAUUAAAAGCAUGGAGUUGGUAACAAGGUUUUAUAAUGUGAGAAUCAGAGUAAGUGAGGCACAGGAAUCAACUCUACCCUUCACCUUCUAAUCAUGGUGCUCAAUUUUGUUUUUUCAAACAUUUUAUAUUAUCACUAAUAUAUAUCUUUCAUAAGAGAUUAGUUUCUUACCUUUAUAACUUUCCUUAUUUAUCCUUACAUUGCAUGCUGUCAUACUCUUGUGACUUUUAAUAAAAUUUUUCUUAUUUCAAACUGGAACGUCCAUACAUACAUAUCAAGGGUGAGAGUGUCUUUAACCUCAUUUUAUGUGGAUAAUUUCAUUCUUAUUUAUGACAUUACAAUAUCUUGUUGGCAGAUGUUUUCCUUAACCUCAGUAACGCUUCUUGCUUAGAUGUGCAAUUUUAUGAUUGCUAGGCACGAAUGGCGUCCGCCUCAGCUCUGGCUUACAUGUGCAAUUGUAGGCCCUUUGAGCUGUUGCACACAAUUACCAUGACUUAAUGUUAGUAAGUUGGGGACAAAUUUCUGCCAUUGUUCAUAAAUUUCUGAGAGAAGCUACUGCUGAAAUUCCAAGAAGACCUAGAGGAACAAGCUGGAAACACUGUUAUGUUUGUUGGGGAAAAAAUGGUUACAGCUGCUAUAAAGGCAUUAGUAUCAUUUUUAUUAUGGUUUCUCUGGAUUUCGCUGGUCUGGAAACUCCAGAAACACAUCCUGUGCACCAAACACAUGGAAGGCAGGCAGAUUGUUCUUGCCAGAGUUAUUAGAUAAAUUAGAUCUUAGGGAAGUUUCAGCUUUUGACACUAUAUUUUGAUCUACCUAUGUAAUAUGUUGAGAUUCCCUUUCUCAAUUUAGUAGUUGCAUGUGCAAGUUGCCAUUUCUGAUUUAAAUUCUUUCUUUUUCUCCUUGUUAGACUCGACAAUUGAUUCAUAACUUUUGACGCUACUUCAUUCUUCAGGUUGUGGAUGAAUGUCUUUGUGCAACAUCUGGACUUAGAGGAAUUGAGGAUCUUCCGGAUGAAAAAUUUUUUGGAUACCCAUUUACUUCUGAUUUAAAAGGACAAAGAAUGUAUCAUCUGCCCCAUCGUAUGGACCACAGAGUCUGGAAGAUACAAAAUAAGAACAAAAUACAUGUCCAUCAGGAGUUGUCAGAAUUGAACAAUUCAGAAGCACAUGCCUCUCAUUCUAUGGCAUACUUCUGCAAUGAUGACGUCAAGCUGUUGACUUGCUGGAUAAGUUCUACUGCAUGCUGCAGUUAUUGGCACUAACAGCAUGUUUGGAUUGAGGUAAGGGGAGAGAAAGGAAAGGAAUGGAAAGGAAACAAAAGGAAAUGGGGAAUCCUUUCAAAUAAAGAAAAGGAAGGCGAGAACUGCAUCAAUAACUUGUUUUGCUGGAAUCACUUCCUCUCUAUUCUUCACUCUCACGAACAAAAAACAGGAUUUUGUUGUUUCGUCUUUAGUACGAGUACCAGCCUGUUGGACUUUGGCGAACAUAUGUGAUUCUUUCUGUCUCUUUGUUGAUAAUUUUGCUUUAAAACAGUCAACAGAUUCAGACACAAACUCCCAAUUAGUGGAGUUGUUAACUGAGAGUGUGCUCUGCGUCUGUCAAAGGAUGGGGACAAGGUAUAAAUUUUUGUAGCAUUUUGUAAUGUUUUAUAUAUUCAUGCCAGAUAGGUGUGAAAGUUAACUUAUAGUUAUUUGGUGAGAUAGGAAUUUUAUUCACGGUUUUGCCUUUUUUGGUGUAUGCUUUUGUUGUAAUUGACAACCUUUUAUGUCUGUUCCGGCAAUUACUUGUAAGUUUGUCAGUUUGUCAGUUUCAGUUUGUCAGUUUUUCAAUUAUUAGAGGAUAUUUAUUUUUCCAUGAGUUUCUUGCUCUAGCUUUAUAUUUACCCGAAUUUCCUCAAUCAGACAUAGAAGGGAAGGGAUGGGAAGGGCAUGGAUAUCUCUCUUUUUACCACCUUGGAAAAUAUAUAUGAAACCUGUAUAUAUCAGUUGUGGUUUUUAAUUUUCUGUUGCUUUGACGUCGUCUCCUAGUAGACGGACGGACGGUUUCAAUUGCUACCCUGCUUAUAAUGGUCUUGCGCCAAUUGUCUGGUUUGUCCUAUGUCCGUAUUUUGUUGGGCAGAGCAAAAAUAUAUUCCGGAAAAGAAAAAGGUAUUCUUUGAAGCAAAUCAGCCACUACCACUAGUAAGUUUCCUAUCCCACAGUAUGAAGCCGGCGAGCCUAUGGCUACCCUGCCACCGUACUAGAUUCUUUGACUCUAUAUGUUGACUUUCUAUUAUUUUUCACUGGAUUCUUGGGACACUUUUUUUUCUUUAAUAUAAUUUA
This is a non-coding RNA of Durio zibethinus, 5646 nucleotides long. NCBI's taxonomy places the organism in Eukaryota, Viridiplantae, Streptophyta, Magnoliopsida, Malvales, Malvaceae. The record is from RefSeq and is a predicted model, not a curated record.